RNAcentral lists this ribosomal RNA (254 nucleotides) under uncultured bacterium. RNAcentral describes it as "partial 16S ribosomal RNA". It matches the Rfam family "Bacterial small subunit ribosomal RNA", at positions 524 to 776 of the family's 1533-position model. The record is from RNAcentral.
UACGAAGGGGGCUAGCGUUGCUCGGAAUCACUGGGCGUAAAGGGUGCGUAGGCGGGUCUUUUAAGUCAGGGGUGAAAUCCUGGAGCUCAACUCCAGAACUGCCUUUGAUACUGAAGAUCUUGAGUUCGGGAGAGGUGAGUGGAACUGCGAAUGUAGAGGUGAAAUUCGUAGAUAUUCGCAAGAACACCAGUGGCGAAGGCGGCUCACUGGCCCGAUACUGACGCUGAGGCACGAAAGCGUGGGGAGCAAACAGG